RNAcentral lists this unclassified non-coding RNA (506 nucleotides) under Pseudopenidiella sp. 1 IT-2017. RNAcentral describes it as "sequence contains 18S rRNA gene, ITS1, 5.8S rRNA gene, ITS2". The stretch from base 166 to 319 matches the Rfam family "5.8S ribosomal RNA". Lineage: Eukaryota; Fungi; Ascomycota. The record is from RNAcentral.
AGACAUUUACCGAGGUCGCGCUCCUGCGCGGUACUCUCACACCAUGUUGUCAAAACCUGUUGCUUCGGCGGGACGUGGCUUAGGCCCCGUCGGCGAAAGCGGACGUGAGCCCGCCGAAGAUUUUAUACUCGUUACUUGACGUCUGAGAAAACAAAAAAUCAAAAAAACUUUCAACAACGGAUCUCUUGGUUCUGGCAUCGAUGAAGAACGCAGCGAAAUGCGAUAAGUAAUGUGAAUUGCAGAAUUUAGUGAAUCAUCGAAUCUUUGAACGCACAUUGCGCCCCUUGGUAUUCCUCGGGGCACGCCUGUUCGAGCGCCGUUUCAAACUUAAGGCCAUGCCUUGCGUUGGCAGAGUCCGUUUGCGGACCCGCCGAAACUCAUGGGCGUCUUUUCGGGAUGUUACAGCGUAGCAAGUCAUCGCUUUGGCUUCCGAGAGAGACCGCCAAUCUCAAGAGUUUGGCCUCGAAUCAGGUGAGGAUACCCGCUGAACUUAAGCAUAUCAAUAA